UGCUCUGGUGGCGAGUGGCGAACGGGUGAGUAAUAUAUCGGAACGUACCCUGGAGUGGGGGAUAACGUAGCGAAAGUUACGCUAAUACCGCAUACGAUCUACGGAUGAAAGUGGGGGAUCGCAAGACCUCAUGCUCGUGGAGCGGCCGAUAUCUGAUUAGCUAGUUGGUAGGGUAAAAGCCUACCAAGGCAUCGAUCAGUAGCUGGUCUGAGAGGACGACCAGCCACACUGGAACUGAGACACGGUCCAGACUCCUACGGGAGGCAGCAGUGGGGAAUUUUGGACAAUGGGCGAAAGCCUGAUCCAGCAAUGCCGCGUGAGUGAAGAAGGCCUUCGGGUUGUAAAGCUCUUUUGUCAGGGAAGAAACGGUGAGAGCUAAUAUCUCUUGCUAAUGACGGUACCUGAAGAAUAAGCACCGGCUAACUACGUGCCAGCAGCCGCGGUAAUACGUAGGGUGCAAGCGUUAAUCGGAAUUACUGGGCGUAAAGCGUGCGCAGGCGGUUUUGUAAGUCUGAUGUGAAAUCCCCGGGCUCAACCUGGGAAUUGCAUUGGAGACUGCAAGGCUAGAAUCUGGCAGAGGGGGGUAGAAUUCCACGUGUAGCA
Molecule: ribosomal RNA, 603 nt
Filed under: uncultured bacterium
Lineage: Bacteria
Description: bacterial SSU rRNA
Rfam family: Bacterial small subunit ribosomal RNA
Source: RNAcentral